RNAcentral lists this ribosomal RNA (484 nucleotides) under uncultured bacterium. Its description in RNAcentral is "partial 16S ribosomal RNA". It matches the Rfam family "Bacterial small subunit ribosomal RNA", at positions 29 to 507 of the family's 1533-position model. The record is from RNAcentral.
AUUGAACGCUGGCGGAAUGCUUUACACAUGCAAGUCGAACGGCAGCACGGGGGCAGCCCUGGUGGCGAGUGGCGAACGGGUGAGUAAUACAUCGGAACGUGCCCGGUCGUGGGGGAUAACGUAGCGAAAGUUACGCUAAUACCGCAUACGAUCUGAGGAUGAAAGCGGGGGACCUUCGGGCCUCGCGCGAUCGGAGCGGCCGAUGUCAGAUUAGGUAGUUGGUGGGGUAAAGGCCUACCAAGCCGACGAUCUGUAGCUGGUCUGAGAGGACGACCAGCCACACUGGGACUGAGACACGGCCCAGACUCCUACGGGAGGCAGCAGUGGGGAAUUUUGGACAAAGGGCGCAAGCCUGAUCCAGCCAUUCCGCGUGCAGGACGAAGGCCUUCGGGUUGUAAACUGCUUCUGUACGGAACGAAAAGGCUCUGGCUAAUACCUGGGGCUCAUGACGGUACCGUAAGAAUAAGCACCGGCUAACUACGUG